GACGAACGCUGGCGGCGUGCUUAACACAUGCAAGUCGAACGAUGAUGCCAGCUUGCUGGUGGAUUAGUGGCGAACGGGUGAGUAACACGUGAGCAACCUGCCCCUGACUUCGGGAUAACCGCGGGAAACCGUGGCUAAUACCGGAUAUGACGCGCUAUCGCAUGGUGGUGUGUGGAAAGAUUUAUCGGUUGGGGAUGGGCUCGCGGCCUAUCAGCUUGUUGGUGGGGUGAUGGCCUACCAAGGCGACGACGGGUAGCCGGCCUGAGAGGGUGACCGGCCACACUGGGACUGAGACACGGCCCAGACGCCUACGGGAGGCAGCAGUGGGGAAUAUUGCACAAUGGGCGCAAGCCUGAUGCAGCGACGCCGCGUGAGGGAUGACGGCCUUCGGGUUGUAAACCUCUUUCAGUAGGGAAGAAGGCCUUCGGGUUGACGGUACCUGCAGAAGAAGCGCCGGCUAACUACGUG
Molecule: ribosomal RNA, 468 nt
Filed under: uncultured bacterium
Lineage: Bacteria
Description: partial 16S ribosomal RNA
Rfam family: Bacterial small subunit ribosomal RNA
Source: RNAcentral